ACAUUUCAUCAGCAUGAUGAUAAGGUACUGCUCAAUCAAUAGAAUCAUUUUUCAUGAUAAUAACAUUAAAAUCCCUUACCAUGGAAUCGGCAACUUCCUUGAUGACAUCCAGAUUUCGAAAUUUGUGCAAUCUAGUCCAGAUUCUUCUGUUAGUAGUUAUAUUUGUCAAGAAAAUCACAACAAGUGAUUUCUGCAUUUCAGCAUUAAUUUCAAUGUCUUUUGAUGCCUUGAUUUUAAAAGAGGUAGUGGAUGUACUAGCAUCCUCUGUCUCAUCCUCUGGAUCUGUACCAGCAUCAUCUGUCUCAUCCUCUGGAUCUCUACUAGGAUCCUCAGUCUCAUCCUCUGGAUCCUCUGGGAUCUGGGUGACCAGUGCUAAAGUCCAUGUCCUUCCCUCCCUUUGCAAAUCAGAGACGUCUUCAGGUUUGGCAUCUGCAAGAAUAACAACAUCUCCAGGCAAUGUUUUGUAAGGCUCCUUGCCACGAUCACUGUAUCUGUUUCUCCAGUAAUCAAUUUCAACAUCAUAAAGUAAUGUUUCAUCAUGUCUACACGGAGUUAGAGCAAGCACUUCAGCAGUUGGUGCCCUGUAAAUAAUUUCUAUACUUGAAUGCAAUCGUGCUCUUGUUUCUUCCAAUAAUGGACAUACAUAUGACCGAAAAUAAUGAUCAACCGAUUCAAACAAUUUGGGAAUCACUUUCACCUCGAAAAGAUUUUCAUUGUAAAUGUCCUCGAGAGACCAAGAAAACAUGGAAGCAACCAAGUCACAGUCAUCGGCAAAUCCUCCUCUCUUUUUGAUUGAAGUCUCCUCUUCCAUGAUUAUUCUCUCCUAUGGCACACUUGUCUUCUCAACUCAUAUCAAAUGAAAAAAAAAAAAAGAAGGGAAACCCAUCUCAGUUCCACCCUUGAAAAAACCCAUAUAAGAAAUGAAAUUUCUUAUGCAUCAAGGAAUUCAAAAAAUCAAUGAAGAGAGCAUCGGUUUGAUGUUCACCCUUUAAAACCCAAAUAAAAAUGUUGUUUCUUAACCAUGAAGGCACAAAGUAACUAAAGAAUUAAUGUAGUACAAGAACCUCAUCUUUCCCAAUUGACUUUGAUAGAGGCAAGAAAGAAUUUCCCAAUUGGUUUUGCAGAAUAUUUAUUUGGGUCAUCUACUGGCCCGAAUAAAGGUUGCUUCGCUUUCCAUGUCAU
This 1182-nucleotide unclassified non-coding RNA is filed under the name Hevea brasiliensis (rubber tree). Lineage: Eukaryota; Viridiplantae; Streptophyta; Magnoliopsida; Malpighiales; Euphorbiaceae. The record is from RNAcentral.